CCUUCCGUGCUUCCAGCUCGUUUUCGAUGUUGCGACUUUCGAAUCGUCGAUCGGCUCCGUUAAACUUGAUCUAGAGUAUUUGAAGUACCUAGAAAAUAAAUUUUAUGAUUUUACGAUAUCAUUUGCCUAGUGAACGAAGGGGCUCAAAAUCAACGGCUGAAAAUAAAAAUCUUACAAAAUGUAAUAAUAUGACAUUAAAAUUUUAAAUCAAAGAUAUUGAUCUUGUUUUAUAUAGUAUAAAGAAUUUUCUAUCAAAAUUUCACGUGAUUUGGAUAUUUCUAUAUCGUUAAACUUGCAAACGGCUCAACACGGCCAUUAAAAUUAUUGAUUUUGAGUCCCAUCGAUCACUAGGCAAAUGAUAUCGAAAAAUCAUAAAAUUUAUUUUCUAAGUACUUCAAAUACUCUAGAUCAAGUUUAACGGAGCCGAUCGACGAUUCGAAAGUCGCAACAUCGAAAACGAGCUGGAAGCACAGAAGGCUCCGUGCUUCCGAUAGCAUAGUAGCCUCACUCUAUAAAUAUAUAUAUAUAUAUAGGCCAUGGCUACUAUACUAUUAUGAGUAUUGGAGCCCUCGUACUCAUAAGUUGUUUUCAAUGAUGGAGCUUCCGAAUCGACGAUCCACUCUGUUAAAUAUGAUUUAAAGUAUUUGAAAUUUCUAGAAAAUAAAUUUCGUAAAUUUUCGAAAUCAUAAUAAAGUCCAUCAAGUAGGCAUAAAAUGAACGGUCAAAAUCGAAUGACGUCCUUAAAAAGGAUGAUCGGAACUUUCAAUUCAAGAUCGGAGUUAUUGAUCUUUAUCUAUGUAGUGAAUAGAAUUUUCUAUCAAAAAUUCAACAAAUUCCGAUUCUUUUACACCGUUAAACUAGCAAGUAUCCUAUACUGGCCGUUAAAAAUUGUCAAAUUUGUGACCUCUUGAUCGUAAGGUAAAUGUGUCACGCCCCGGGGUCCCUUUUAGUUUAAAACAUAGCAGAAAAGCGUCUGAAUUUUUUUUUUUUUUUGAAAACCUCACUCCAGAGUAUGUCAGAUCCGCUACAAACACAGGGAAUCCACUGUGCACACGGACAGAGUCUCCCCUGUAUUUUCACGGCGUCGCACAAGUACAAGAAGCAAUCCAGAUACAAUCACAACCAAAUGAACAUACAAGUAACCAACAAUUAUAUAUUCAUACACCAUUCACAUCACAGGUUCAUAUUUAUAUAUUCAAUAUUUAAACAUAAAUCCACAUCUAUCAGUUAAAAUAUUUCCAACUCAGAAAAAGGUUUUGAAAUACUAAGAUACAAAAUCCACAGAAAAUCUUUUGGAAACUGUUCCCUACACGGAAACUUUUCUCUUUUAAAAAUGCUACCACGAGGAGUAGAAAACCUUUUAUUUACGAAAAUUCAGGAAUCUUCUUCUCAUUCGAAAAACCAACUGAAGUCUUGAAUAUUUUAACAUAAUGAAAUACUCAACCAUAUAAACCCACUAAGCUAUAUAUCAAAAGAAAUAAUAAGGGCAAAAGCUAAGCCGAAUAACCUGGGUCAGAAGAUCUAUCGACCGCUACGUACAUGUCUCACGUCUCGUCUCAACCCUUACCGCCCGCGAUACCUGAAAAAUAGUGGGGGAGGUGAGAACAUGUAAACAUGUCUCCCCUCCCAGUGGGUACCGCAAGCCGNNNNNNNNNNNNNNNNNNNNNNNNNNNNNNNNNNNNNNNNNNNNNNNNNNNNNNNNNNNNNNNUACUUCAAAUACUCUAGAUCAAGUUUAACGGAACCGAUCGACGAUUCGAAAGUCGCAACAUCGAAAACGACCUGAAAGCACGGAAGGCUCCGUGCUUCCAGAAGCAUAGUAGCCUCACUCUAUAUAUUUAACGGUGUGGAUCGUCGAUUCGGAAGCUGUAUCAUCGAAAACAACUUAUAAGUACGAGGGCGAUCGUACUAUAAUAGUAUAGUAGCCGGACCCUAUAUAGGCCAUGGCUACUAUACUAUUAUGAGUAUUGGAGCCCUCGUACUCAUAAGUUGUUUUCAAUGAUGGAGCUUCCGAAUCGACGAUCCACUNAGAAGCCAACUUCUCACCGCGGCUUCUCCGGAAAAUCGAGUUACUAUUCACUUUAAGUGAAACUUGGAAAUCGCGUAGAAUUUCCGUUUUAACUCGAUUUCGCCCGAAACUUGACGAGUGCUUUUGUAAUUAAAUUACACACAAAAACAUCGUCAACUGAGAGUUUAGCUACACUGCAAAAAUCUCAGUCCUUACAUCAUAUAUAUGCAUGAUCGCUGAAUAUUUUACCUAAGAUUAAGCAGAAGAGGGAUUAGUUAUGAAAUAUAAAUUAUAUAACUCACAUCUAAUCAAGUAAAUAUAAGUCAGUUCAAUAGAAAGAAGCAGGCAGAAUGCAGAGAAAGUGCAGCAAGUAGUAAAAGACCACACAGAGUGGAAAGAAUAAGAAGAAGAAGCAACUAAGUAUGAUAUAGUAUGUAACUAAGCCCACAAAACAUUGGAAUAUGUGCUCAGGCCAUAUACUUUAAGGUAUCGUUUGGUUCGGGGAUAAGUAAAAAGUGGCUAUUCCAGGGAAAAGUAUAAAUUGAGGUAUAAGCGGGAAUUAGAUCAAUUUUGCGUUUGGAUGAAAAUUAGGUUAUUCCUGUGAAUAAAAAAAAUAGCGUUUGGUUAGAUAAGAUGUAAUAAAAAGUGUAGUGGGUUUUAAUAAAUAAAACAUAAUGAUAUUACCCACCUAUUAUAUUUUAAUUUAAAUUUUUAAUUUUUAAUUUUAUAUUUUUAAAUUUAAAUUUUUAACUUUGAAAUUUCAAAUUUUGAAAUCUCAAAUUUUAAAUUCAAAAUUUUAAAUUUUAAAUUUCAAACUUUAAAUUUAAGAUCAAAUUUAAAUUUAAAAAAUAUAAAAUAUCAAAUUUUAAAUUUUAAAAAUUUAACAUAUCAAAAUUUAGAAUUUAGAAUUUAAAAUUAAAAACUUUAAUUUUGAGAUUACAAAUUUUAAAUUUUAAAAUUUUAAAUUUUAAAUGUUUAAAUUUUAAAAUAAGAAUAGGGGUGGGAACAAUUAAUAAAAAUAAUUUAUUAUAAUAAAUUUAUAAAGUUUUUUAAAAUUCUACUUAAACUUAAAUUUAAUAAAUAUAAUUUAUUAUAAUAUUUAAAUAUAAAUAAUAUGUAUUAAUAUAGUACAAUUAAUAAAUUUAUAAUAAAAAUAAUGUAUUAUAAUAUAUAACAUAUUAUAUUUAUAUAAUUUAGUGUUAAUUCAAUUUAAAAUUUUAAUUAAGUUUGAAAUUAAGCAUUGGAAUAGCACUAUUCCACCAAAAAGGUGGAAUAGCAAAUUCCUUGCUAUUCCGAGAGAACCUGGAAUAGUAAGGUUUGACCGGGAUAAAAUAUUCCGGUAAAAAAUUGCGCCGUUUAGCGGAAUAGCGGGAAUAACUUUCGUUAUUCUCACUUAUCCUCCGAACCAAACGGGGCCUAAUGUUAUUGUAUUUAUACUAGAAUAUAUGCUUAGGGUCCUUACUAUUAUGAGUAUGAUCGCCCUCGUACUUAUUAGUUGUUUUCGAUGAUACAGCUUCCGAAUCGACGAUCCACACCGUUAAACAUUAUUUACAGCAUUUAAAACUUCUAGAAAUCAAAUUUUAUAAUUUUUCGACAUCAUUUAUCUUACGAUCAAGAGGUCACAAAUUUGACAAUUUUUAACGGCCAGUAUAGGAUACUUGCUAGUUUAACGGUAUAAAAGAAUCGGAUUUUGUUGAAUUUUUGAUAGAAAAUUCUAUUCACUACAUAGAUAAAGAUCAAUAACUCUGAUCUUGAAUUGAAGGAUCCGAUCAUCCUUUUUUAGGACGUCAUUCGAUUUUGACCGUUCAUUUUAUGCCCACUUGAUAGACUUUAUUAUGAUUUCAAAAAUUUACGAAAUUUAUUUUCUAGAAAUUUCAAAUACUCUAGAUCAUAUUUAACGGAGUGGAUCGUCGAUUCGGAAGCUCCAUCAUUGAAAACAACUUAUGAGUACAGAGGAUCCAAUACUCAUAACUAGUAUAGAGUCAUGGCCUAUAUAUAUAUAUAUAUAAUAUCAUUAAUAUUAUAUAAUUGCGGCUAGGAUGCUUAUGGAAACACGGAGGGCUCCGUGCUUCACUUUGUUUUCGAUGUUCGGCUUUCGAAUUGACGAUCGGCUCCGUUAGAGUUCAUCUGAGUAUUUGAAGUAUCUAGAAAAUAAAUUUUGCGAUUUUCGAUAUAUUUGCCUAGUGAUCGACGUGGCUCAAAAUCAACGGAGCUGAAAAUAAAAAUCUUACAAAAAUAAUGAUAAUGAUAUUAAAAUUUUAGAUCAAAUAUUGAUCCUGUUUUAUUAUGGUAUAAAGAAUUUUCUAUCAAAAUUUCAUGUGAUAUUGGAUAUUUCUACACUGUUAAACUUGCAACCGGCCCACCACGCCUGUUAAAUUAUUGAUUUGAGCCCCUUCGAUCCUAGGCAAAUGAUAUCAAAAAACGCAAUUUAAUUUUUUAGGUACUUCAAAUACUCUAGAUCAACUCUACGGAGCCGAUCGUCGAUUCGAAAGUCCGAACAUCGAAAAUAAUUGGAAGCACAGAGGCCUCCGUGCUUCCAUAAGCAUACCAGCCACUCUAUAAUAUAUUAUAUAUAAUAUUAUAUAUAUAUUUAUAUAUAUAUAUAUAUAUAUAUCAUAUAUAUAUAUAUAUAACUUUCAAGUCGUUUUCGAUGUUGCGACUUUCGGAAAUUCGAUCGAUCGGCUCCGUUAAACUUGAUCUAGAGUAUUUGAAGUACUUAGAAAAUAAAUUUUAUAAUUUUUCGAUAUCAUUUGCCUAGUGAUCGAUGGGACUCAAAAUCAAUAAUUCUAAUAGCCAUGUUGAGCCGUUUGCAAGUUUAACGGUGUAGAAAUAUCCAAAUCACGUGGAAUUUUGAUAGAAAAUUCUUUCUACUAUAUAAAACAAGAUCAGUAUAUUUGAUCUAAAAUUUUAAUGUCAUAUUAUCGCGUUUUGUAAGAUUUUUAUUUUCAGCCGUUGAUUUUGAGCCCCUUAGUUCACUAGGCAAAUGAUAUCGAAAAAUUGCAAAAUUUAUUUUCUAGGUACUUC
RNAcentral lists this long non-coding RNA (5030 nucleotides) under Ananas comosus (pineapple). RNAcentral describes it as "long non-coding RNA (ACOM_LNC013122)". The record is from RNAcentral. Lineage: Eukaryota; Viridiplantae; Streptophyta; Magnoliopsida; Poales; Bromeliaceae.